This 132-nucleotide small nucleolar RNA is filed under the name Carassius auratus (goldfish). RNAcentral's name for it is "Small nucleolar RNA SNORA9 (ENSCARG00000025860.1)". It matches the Rfam family "Small nucleolar RNA SNORA9". From Rfam's summary of the family: ACA9 is a member of the H/ACA class of snoRNA that guide the sites of modification of uridines to pseudouridines. Lineage: Eukaryota; Metazoa; Chordata; Actinopteri; Cypriniformes; Cyprinidae. The record is from Rfam by way of RNAcentral.
UGGCAGGCCGUUCAGCGAGGCUGAGUCUGAAGUGACUCUGUUCUUUCCUGUUGUGUCUGCUAGAUGGACUUGAGGUGGUUUGAGGCCUGCUGUUUACCUUCUGCAGUAUGGUUAUAGAAACCUCAGACAAUC